ACUAUCUGAAAAGUGACAUUUUUCGGCAUAUUUGGUAGAUUUUUCAUAUUUGAGCUUGAAUCGGGUCGUUUUUAAUGACUAAAUCAGUUAAAAUCUUUAACAUAAACUAAUUUAUUCGAAUGAAAUAGACACUUAAGUGUUUAAAAAGUGGUCAAAAUCUUUCGUAAGAUGAACCUGAAAUUUGAGGCCAAAAUCGGUCCUUACCGGACCUACUCCUUUAUCACUUGAAAUCUCAUAAAGUUAAAUAAGAAUAGAAUUUAAACAUUUAAAUUGGCAUGUAUUACUCAUGAAAUGCAUACAAGUUGGCAACCAUGCAUGGAAAAUAUUGAGUACAAUUUGAAAACAAGGAGAAGUUUGCAAAUUGUCCUAUAGUUUAGGCUUGAAAAGAACAAGAAAAAAAUAUAAAAUUAUUAAAUAUUAAGUGUAGUCAUGCACUUUUAUCUAUUAUUUUGUAUCAAAACAAAUUAUUUUUAUACGCCCGUCAAAAUUUUGACGGGAUGUAUUAUGGUAUACAAAUGUCCGGUGUCCGUCCGUCUGUCUGUCCGUCCGUCCGUCCGUCCGUCUGUCCGGCGUAAACAUGUCGCACUGUAACUUGAGAACGACUUAUCCAAAUUUCAUGAAACUUAAUAUCGUUGUUUCUUAUGAUGGUCAAAUGAUCUGUAUACUUUUUGGUGAAAAUAAGAUUUAAACUUUUUGAGUUACAGCACUUUAUGACUAAAACAGGGGUGUGUUUUUUUCACAUGUCGCACUGUAUCUCAAAAAGGAUUCUUGAUUAUGACUUAAAACUUAAAACACUUUUUAGUUAUAUUAAUCUCAAUAUCUGUAUACUUUUUGGUGAUGAUUCAAAAUUUCAUUUUUGAGUUAUUGAGUAUUUUGUAAAAAAGGGGGAGGGUUUUUUUACAUGUCGCACCAUAUCUCAAAAACUAUUUAUGAUUAUUGCUUAAAACUUUACACAUGUCUUUGUUAUAUUAAUCUCAAUAUCUGUAUACUUUUUGGUGAUGAUUCAAAAUUUUAUUUUUGAGUUAUUAGUAUUUUUUUAAAAAGGGGGAGGGUUUUUUUCACAUGUUGUGCCAUAUCUCAAAAACGAUUUAUGAUUAUUGCUUAAAACUUUACACACUUCUUUGUUCUAUUAAUCUAAAGAUCUGUAUACUUUUUGGUGAUUAUUCAAAAUUUUAUUUUUGAGUUAUUGAGUAUUUUGUAAAACAGGGGAGGGUUUUUUUACAUGUCGCGCCGUAUCUCAAAAAUAAGUAAUGAUUAUUGCUUAAAACUUUACACACUUCUUUGAUAUAUUAAUCUAAAGAUCUGUAUACUUUUUGCUUUUGAUUCAAAAUUUUAUUUUGGUAAUAUUUAGUUUUUGUAAAAAAAAACAGGGUGGGGGGUUUCACAUGUCCCGCCGUGUCUCUAAAACAAUAUAUGGUUAUUGCUUAAAACUUUCUCAUAAACUAAUUAUGAUUAUUGCAUAAGACUUCCACAUAAGACGUCGGGCGUAUCAUGCGCUCAUGGCGCAGCUGCUUAUUUUCCCAUGUCAAAUCAGGAUUCUUUUUGGAAUUUCAAUUUCUACAUAUGUGAAGUGUAUCAUAGUAAAGUCUCUCAAGUUAACAUGCGAAUGUUAAUUGACGAAAUUGCUUUCAUAACAAGAUAUUAACCUUAUUUGUGUUAUUGUCCUUUAUAAUAAAAAUAGUAAGAUUUUAGAAGACGGAUACAUUUGUUUUUGUACUACAAUGUAGUAUAUUUGUGUCAAAACAAACUUGAAUUUCAAAUACUAGUCUUUAAGUUAAAUUCCCCACAUUCCAGGAUUAAUAUUUAGAAUCAGCUGCAUGCUUUGUGCAUUUUAGUUACUGGUGCUAAUAUCAAAUAUCAUAAGGAAAAAGCUUUGUUUCAUCUUUUUGUUUAAUAUAUUAAAUUUUUGUCUAAUUUUGCAAAACAUUGAAAUUUAUUAUAGUAGGUACACUAUUUUUGAAAAAAACUUUAAUAUUUAAUACUAAUAGAAACAAGGAUGUAAUGUCAUGUUAUUGGAUAUCAUUAAACUAAAUCAAUUAAUACGGGAAUUAAAAUUACUAGGAUAAGAAGAUGAUUUAGGAAGUUCUGCUCAAGUUUGAACUCUAAUU
Molecule: long non-coding RNA, 2108 nt
Filed under: Mytilus galloprovincialis (Mediterranean mussel)
Lineage: Eukaryota; Metazoa; Mollusca; Bivalvia; Mytilida; Mytilidae
Source: RNAcentral